GGUGUCGAUGAUGAAGAGGUGGCUAACCAGAUCUUGAAUGAUCUUGAUUUUGAGUAUAAUCCUUUUGUGUCUUCUGUUCUUGGACGGGCUGAUCCAAUCCUGUUUGAUGAGCUUUAUGCUCAACUUUUGGCA
RNAcentral lists this small nucleolar RNA (132 nucleotides) under Setaria italica (foxtail millet). RNAcentral's name for it is "Small nucleolar RNA Z247". It matches the Rfam family "Small nucleolar RNA Z247". Rfam says of the family: Z247 is a member of the C/D class of snoRNA which contain the C (UGAUGA) and D (CUGA) box motifs. The record is from Rfam by way of RNAcentral. Lineage: Eukaryota; Viridiplantae; Streptophyta; Magnoliopsida; Poales; Poaceae.